This 1012-nucleotide long non-coding RNA is filed under the name Daphnia pulex (common water flea). RNAcentral describes it as "uncharacterized LOC124206015". The record is from RNAcentral. Lineage: Eukaryota; Metazoa; Arthropoda; Branchiopoda; Diplostraca; Daphniidae.
GGUCUCCACGUACGUACGGGCAUGUCCGUACCAAAAACCGUCGCAUUUCUAGCCUUCUCAUUGGCUCACAGGCCUCAGAUGGACAGUCCCUCAGCAGCCAGCAUCGCAUUGCAGUCGGCAAUUGUUUUUUUGUUUUGUUUUCUUUCUCGGUUGUUAAUGGCCGCCUGCUUUCAUGAAAAAUGGAUGGAAACGUCAGUUUUAAAAAGGGGCUUACUGCUCGCGAGUUAAGAAGAAAUGCACACAGAAGAGGAAUAACUAAAAUAAGAAAGGAAGAUAAAGCUAAAGCCCAAGGUGAACCCUCGUCAAGACCUCGUUGUUUGGGUGCUUUGCGUUCACCAGAAAAUAGUGAAUCUACAAAAAGGAAGAAAACAGCUAAAUCAUUAGCUACAAAGAAACCUCGCAUGGAUAAUCCUGAUAAUAGUGUUAGUUCUCCUUCUGCAAAUGUGUUUUCAACUGCAUUGGAAAGUGAUAUUACCCAACUUGAUGAUAGGUUUGAUGUUUCCUGUCAAGAAAAGCUUGCACAAAGUGGUGAACAAUUGUUGAAAACUUUAUGCGUAUUAUGCUUUUCAUUUAGGAGGCUAUAAACUCUCACCGGUUAAGCUCUCCUAGAACAUGAUUGGAUUGAUUGGCCAUUUAAAUGCUGUUUGAAAUCAAUCACUCUUUAUCAAUGAGAAUGGAUAUUCUACUACGGAUACAUGGUUGCUGGUUUAUGUGUGUGGAUUGAUUAAUCACCAAUAUUGAGCUAGUUACGUGACGCUCACGGCAAAGUCUUCGUUUUCAUUACAACACUACAUGAUUGCUGGGAAGGUGAAGACUUACCAAGCUGUUUUUAGUUCCGUCUUAUUAUGGAAUCCUGAAGAAACUUCGAAAGUUGCGUCUACUAGAUGGGAUUGAUUAAUUAAUUUCUUAGACUAGAAGUACGUGUCAUAUCUGUCAUUCUGUGUUGUUCAGUUAACAAGGCUUGUCGCUCGAUUUCACGCGAAUAAUUCAUGAGAAAUACAAAUUUCGUAAC